UCCUUCUGGGAAGCUCGUUCAGAUCGAAUAUGCCUUAAUGGCCGUCGGUUCUGGCCAGACAUCUCUAGGGAUUAAAGCUGCAAAUGGUGUUGUUAUUGCUACAGAGAAGAAAUUACCAUCGAUCUUAGUAGAUGAAAUAUCUGUUCAAAAGAUUCAGCUUUUGACCCCAAAUAUUGGAGUUGUUUACAGUGGCAUGGGUCCUGAUUUUCGAGUUCUGGUCCGGAAGAGUCGGAAGCAGGCACAACAGUAUUACAGACUAUACAAAGAACAGAUUCCUGUUACACAACUUGUUAGAGAAACAGCAGCUGUUAUGCAGGAGUUCACUCAAUCUGGUGGUGUAAGGCCUUUUGGAGUUUCACUGCUCGUUGCUGGGUUUGAUGCCGAUGGUCCACAAUUAUAUCAGGUGGACCCAUCUGGGUCAUACUUUUCAUGGAAAGCUUCUGCGAUGGGGAAGAAUGUCUCUAAUGCUAAGUCAUUUCUUGAGAAGAGGUACACUGAUGAUAUGGAGCUUGAUGAUGCGGUGCAUACUGCGAUUUUGACACUAAAAGAGGGGAUGAUGGUUAAAUACCAAUGUUUGGAGACCCAAUCAGAGAGGACCUUGAGUUUGGCUUAGUUAAAUGGGUGCAAUCAUAGUUUUUAAGGCGCUGCUAAGGCGUCGCCUUACUAGCACCUUGGCGUUGAUGCAGUCUAGAGAUGGUUUGAAGGACAGAUUUCAGCAAAGAACAUUGAGAUUGGGAUUAUUGGCACCGACGGAAAUUUCAGAGUUUUGACUCCAUCUGAAAUUGACGAUUACUUGGGUGAAGUGGAGUAGCUGGUUUUUAUCUAUAUCCUUCAACAUGUUGCUGAAAUUGCUUCUGACGCAGUCCUCACAUGUUUUCCGGCUUUAAUGUAAACUGCAAGGAGCGGAUUUUCUUGUGGUCUUAACCUUUGGUUCUCCUGUUUUGUAGUUGUGCUGCUGGUAGGGAAUUAGUGAUUGCUUUUGUUGUACUUUUAUUAACGAUUUCACAUGAUGAAUCUCCACCCACUUUGACCAAUGCGUUGGUGUUUGAAAGUUUGCUUAUAAAGAGGAAAACAAAAAAAAUAAUAAAUAGGAAAAGUCUUUGCACCCUGCGGGGUUUCCCA
Molecule: RNA transcript, 1122 nt
Organism: Macadamia integrifolia
Lineage: Eukaryota; Viridiplantae; Streptophyta; Magnoliopsida; Proteales; Proteaceae
Gene name: proteasome subunit alpha type-2-like
Source: RefSeq, a predicted model, not a curated record